UACCAAUUGAGCUGCAGCUCAAUUGGUAAGAGGCGAAGCAAAUCCGUGAGGUGAUAUGGGUUCGAAUCCUAGCUCUGCAGGGCGAAGGGAUUGAACUCCACCAAAGCGGACAGUACCUUGUGAGUCGCACCGCCGGCCUCUAGGGGGGUACGCCAGCAAGAUGGCCACCCAGAGAGGGGCUUGAGCUGGGGCCCGCUAAGUCGGGAUGUGACAAU
Long non-coding RNA from Hevea brasiliensis (rubber tree), 215 nucleotides. RefSeq lists it as uncharacterized. The record is from RefSeq and is a predicted model, not a curated record. Lineage: Eukaryota; Viridiplantae; Streptophyta; Magnoliopsida; Malpighiales; Euphorbiaceae. The transcript is spliced from 2 exons.